RNAcentral lists this ribosomal RNA (1368 nucleotides) under Curtobacterium sp. RNAcentral describes it as "bacterial SSU rRNA". It matches the Rfam family "Bacterial small subunit ribosomal RNA". Lineage: Bacteria; Bacillati; Actinomycetota; Actinomycetes; Micrococcales; Microbacteriaceae. The record is from RNAcentral.
UUUGAUCCUGGCUCAGGACGAACGCUGGCGGCGUGCUUAACACAUGCAAGUCGAACGAUGAUGCCCAGCUUGCUGGGUGGAUUAGUGGCGAACGGGUGAGUAACACGUGAGUAACCUGCCCCUGACUCUGGGAUAAGCGUUGGAAACGACGUCUAAUACUGGAUAUGAUCACUGGCCGCAUGGUCUGGUGGUGGAAAGAUUUUUUGGUUGGGGAUGGACUCGCGGCCUAUCAGCUUGUUGGUGAGGUAAUGGCUCACCAAGGCGACGACGGGUAGCCGGCCUGAGAGGGUGACCGGCCACACUGGGACUGAGACACGGCCCAGACUCCUACGGGAGGCAGCAGUGGGGAAUAUUGCACAAUGGGCGAAAGCCUGAUGCAGCAACGCCGCGUGAGGGAUGACGGCCUUCGGGUUGUAAACCUCUUUUAGUAGGGAAGAAGCGAAAGUGACGGUACCUGCAGAAAAAGCACCGGCUAACUACGUGCCAGCAGCCGCGGUAAUACGUAGGGUGCAAGCGUUGUCCGGAAUUAUUGGGCGUAAAGAGCUCGUAGGCGGUUUGUCGCGUCUGCUGUGAAAUCCCGAGGCUCAACCUCGGGCUUGCAGUGGGUACGGGCAGACUAGAGUGCGGUAGGGGAGAUUGGAAUUCCUGGUGUAGCGGUGGAAUGCGCAGAUAUCAGGAGGAACACCGAUGGCGAAGGCAGAUCUCUGGGCCGUAACUGACGCUGAGGAGCGAAAGCGUGGGGAGCGAACAGGAUUAGAUACCCUGGUAGUCCACGCCGUAAACGUUGGGCGCUAGAUGUAGGGACCUUUCCACGGUUUCUGUGUCGUAGCUAACGCAUUAAGCGCCCCGCCUGGGGAGUACGGCCGCAAGGCUAAAACUCAAAGGAAUUGACGGGGGCCCGCACAAGCGGCGGAGCAUGCGGAUUAAUUCGAUGCAACGCGAAGAACCUUACCAAGGCUUGACAUACACCGGAAACGGCCAGAGAUGGUCGCCCCCUUGUGGUCGGUGUACAGGUGGUGCAUGGUUGUCGUCAGCUCGUGUCGUGAGAUGUUGGGUUAAGUCCCGCAACGAGCGCAACCCUCGUUCUAUGUUGCCAGCGCGUUAUGGCGGGGACUCAUAGGAGACUGCCGGGGUCAACUCGGAGGAAGGUGGGGAUGACGUCAAAUCAUCAUGCCCCUUAUGUCUUGGGCUUCACGCAUGCUACAAUGGCCGGUACAAAGGGCUGCGAUACCGUAAGGUGGAGCGAAUCCCAAAAAGCCGGUCUCAGUUCGGAUUGAGGUCUGCAACUCGACCUCAUGAAGUCGGAGUCGCUAGUAAUCGCAGAUCAGCAACGCUGCGGUGAAUACGUUCCCGGGCCUUGUACACACC